RNAcentral lists this ribosomal RNA (467 nucleotides) under uncultured bacterium. RNAcentral describes it as "partial 16S ribosomal RNA". It matches the Rfam family "Bacterial small subunit ribosomal RNA", at positions 28 to 506 of the family's 1533-position model. The record is from RNAcentral.
GACGAACGCUGGCGGCGUGCUUAACACAUGCAAGUCGAACGGAAAGGCCCUGCUUUUGUGGGGUGCUCGAGUGGCGAACGGGUGAGUAACACGUGAGUAACCUGCCCCUGACUUUGGGAUAACUUCAGGAAACUGGGGCUAAUACCGGAUAGGAGCUCCUGCUGCAUGGUGGAGGUUGGAAAGUUUCGGCGGUUGGGGAUGGACUCGCGGCUUAUCAGCUUGUUGGUGGGGUAGUGGCUUACCAAGGCUUUGACGGGUAGCCGGCCUGAGAGGGUGACCGGCCACAUUGGGACUGAGAUACGGCCCAGACUCCUACGGGAGGCAGCAGUGGGGAAUAUUGCACAAUGGGCGGAAGCCUGAUGCAGCAACGCCGCGUGCGGGAUGACGGCCUUCGGGUUGUAAACCGCUUUCGCCUGUGACGAAGCGUGAGGGACGGUAAUGGGUAAAGAAGCACCGGCUAACUACGU